GAUGAAGAACGUAGCGAAAUGCGAUACUUGGUGUGAAUUGCAGAAUCCCGUGAACCAUCGAGUAUUUGAACGCAAGUUGCGCCUCAAGCCAUUAGGUUGAGGGCACGUCUGCCUGGGCGUCACAUAUCGUUGCCUGAUGCCAGUUUCCUCGUGAUGGGUGACUGUGCAGGGCGAAUGAUGGCUUCCCGUGAGCAUUGUUGCCUCAUGGUUGGUUGAAAAUUGAGUCCUUGGUAGGGAGCGCCGUGAUAGAUGGUGGUUGAGUGACGAACGAGACCCAAUCAUGUGAGACCCCUACCGAAUUUGGCCUUCAUGACCCACAUGCGUCUUUGGAACGCUCAUGACGAGACCUCAGGUCAGGCGGGGCUACCCGCUGAGUUUAAGCAUAUCAAUAAGCGGAGGA
This 400-nucleotide unclassified non-coding RNA is filed under the name soil metagenome. RNAcentral's name for it is "partial contains 5.8S ribosomal RNA, internal transcribed spacer 2, and large subunit ribosomal RNA". The stretch from base 1 to 122 matches the Rfam family "5.8S ribosomal RNA", at positions 35 to 154 of the family's 154-position model. The record is from RNAcentral.